UACAGAGGUCUCAAGCGUUGUUCGGAUUCAUUGGGCGUAAAGGGUGUGUAGGUGGCGCGCUAAGUCGGGUGUGAAAUUUCGGAGCUUAACUCCGAAACUGCAUUCGAUACUGGCGUGCUUGAGGACUGGAGAGGAGACUGGAAUUCAUGGUGUAGCAGUGAAAUGCGUAGAGAUCAUGAGGAAGACCAGUGGCGAAGGCGGGUCUCUGGACAGUUCCUGACGCUGAGGCACGAAGGUCAGGGGGGCAAACGGG
This 253-nucleotide ribosomal RNA is filed under the name uncultured bacterium. Its description in RNAcentral is "partial 16S ribosomal RNA". It matches the Rfam family "Bacterial small subunit ribosomal RNA", at positions 524 to 776 of the family's 1533-position model. The record is from RNAcentral.